AAUUCCGCCCGAUUCCCAUAUUUUCGUGUGCUACCUAGCCCACACCUUCCGAGUGGGUCCGGGUCCCCCGGACCUUGAUCGCCUAAAAUUUAUUUUGGCCAUCAAAUAUGACCGAAAGAUCCAUAGUCACCGCCCCGCCAUGACCGUUCCUCGUUGUUUUGUUUUUUAUGACCAAAAAACUAGAAUUUCCCCCGAUUACCAUAUUUUUGUGUGCUCUAGACCACGCCUUCCGCGUGGGCCCGUGUCCCCCGAAAACGGAUUGCCUAAAAUUUUUCCAGGCCGUCAAAUACGACCUAAGGAACCAUAUUCACCGCCCCGCCAUGGCCGUUCCUCGUUGUUUUGCGUUUUAUGGCCAAAAAACUAGACUUUUGCUUGAUUCCCAUAUUUUUCGUGUGCUAUAAGCCCACGCCUUCUGAGUGGGUCCGGGCCCCCGGACCCCGAUUACCUAAAAUUAUCGGGCCAUCAAAUACGACCUAAGGAACCAUAGUCACAAACCCGCCAUGAUCGUUCCUCAUUUUUUGAAUUUUUCGGCCAAAAAACUAGAAUUCGGCCCGAUUCCCAUAUUUUCGUAUGCUAUAGCCCACGCUUUCCAAGUGGUCCCGGGUCCCCCGGACCCCGAUCGCCUAAUAUUUUUCUGGGCUAUCAAAUACGACCUAAGGAACCAUAGUCACGUCCCCGCCACGGCCGUUCCUCGUUGUUUUGUGUUUUACUGCCAAAAAACUCGAAUUCAGCCCAAUUCCUAUAUAUUCGUGUGCUAUAGCCCACUCCUUCAGAGUGGGUCCAGGCCCCCCGUACCCUGAUCGCCAAAAAUUUAUUUGGGCCAUCCAAUAUGACCUAAGGAACCAUAGUCACCGCCCCGCCAUGACCGUUCCUCGUUUUGUUUUGCUUUUUACGACCAAAAAACUAGAAUUCCGCCCGAUCCCAUAUUUUCGUGCGCUCUAGCCCAUGCCUUCCGAGUGGGCCAGGGUCCCCCUAAACCGGAUUGCCUAAAAUUUUUCCAGGCGAUCAAAUACGACCUAAGGAACCAUAGUCACUGCCCCGCCAUGGCCGUUCCUCGUUGUUUUGCGUUUUACGACCAAAAAACUAGAAUUCUACCCGAUUCCCAUAUAUUCGUGUGCUAUAUAGCCUAUGCCUUCUGAGUGGGUCCGGACCCCCGGACCUCGAUCGCCUAAAAUUUUUCUGGGCUAUCAAAUACGACCUAAGGAACCAUAGCCACCGCCCCGCCAUGAGCGUUCCUCGUUUUUUUGCAGUUUAUUGCCAAAAAACUAGAAUUCCGCUCGAUUACCAUAUAUUCGUAUGCUAUAGACCACGCCUUCCGAGUGG
Molecule: long non-coding RNA, 1323 nt
Filed under: Nicotiana tabacum (common tobacco)
Lineage: Eukaryota; Viridiplantae; Streptophyta; Magnoliopsida; Solanales; Solanaceae
Description: long non-coding RNA (NTAB_LNC014445)
Source: RNAcentral